Molecule: long non-coding RNA, 1778 nt
Organism: Peromyscus californicus insignis
Lineage: Eukaryota; Metazoa; Chordata; Mammalia; Rodentia; Cricetidae
Exons: 2
Source: RefSeq, a predicted model, not a curated record
GGACGACAGUGGGGACAUGGGUUGGUUGUUUUUUUGCCUUGGCCACCACAAUUUCCCCUUUAUCCUUUCGAACUGGCAGUAUGUUCUGGCUUCCUCAAAGGUGCAUAUGGAUGAGAUGCUGGUCCCAGUCAUUGACUGAACAUUGGCUGGUCUAAGUUCUUUGGGCCCGAUACAUACACUGCACCAGAAAUAAGUAUUUUUCUGAUGAGGUUUCCACAGUGGUUGUAAGGAUUCUGUCCUUAAUUACAUCAUCAGUCUGCGACCUCGUCCCAGCCUAAAAAGCAGCACUCUCCUCCACCAGCAUGGCUGCUGCAGGCGAUGGCCAGCCAUGAGCAGCUCGCCGUUUAACCAACAUUGGUGCCGUGACUAGGACACACCACCGAAUACCGAGGACCUGCUGUGACUGCUGCCGCAUGCCGCCUCCUCCCCCAUCCAACGAGACCGCGAGACCACGAGCGUGCACACAUCCCUCACUGCCUCCACUGGACCCCCACACAGCUGCCGUCACCACAGUGAGUCUGCCGUUCUCACGGCUGUAGUCUGAGCUAUAUUCUUUGCGACGGACACCCCGGGGGUUGUCCUCGGGCUGUACUGGCAACGGCAGGCACAUUUUCGCUCCUGACGAGGAAGUAAAUGGUGUCUAGGGUUCAAUGGUGGACCAACUGCAGUACAGUCGCAGCCCUCACGAUCCCUUGAUGAAGAGGACUCGUGACUUGAGCUGAUUUAUAGAUCUCUCUCCACUCUUGGGGAUGCCCGAGAUUGUAGUCUGAUCCCAGUUUGUUAUUUUAAUUUUUUAUUUUUCUCUUGGCUACAGCCAUGAGACAAAGGAGCGGAUACAUUUACCACCUACAUUGGUGGAUAGGGGUGGGCACAGCCUAAACCUGGCCACAUAACAGCGUCGCAGGAACUUCUGCCAGUAAAUGGGCAAAUAAGAGUUACUUUAUCCCCAAGCUUUCUACUAAAGUUCUAACUAAACCCUUCUCCUUCCCCACUUCUGUGUCUGCCACGUGCAAACUUUUCUGUCUGACUUCUGCUGGCAGUGGGCAGGCUCAAAUGGGCCGACUUGGGUAGUUUCUAUAACUCACCCUCACUCACCCACUCAUUCUCAAACUGUCUGUGUUUCUCACGUGCAUACAGACAGGGCCCUGAUCUUUGCCUUGUCCCUAAUUCCAAAAAAAAAUAAAUUCUCAUGCACCACAAGCUUUUCUCUUCCCAGUUCCCUGUUCUCACUGUUCAGCCAAUGAUACAGGACCACCACAGAACCGGAGUCCAGAGAUCAUCAACAUCUUGUCAAACAGAAAGUUCCCAGCCACAACCAAGAGGGAUACAUGUCUCCAGAGCAAACGGAUGACAGACAGCAUCCCACAAUGCCUGUCUACCUCGGAAGACUCCCCCAAGAGCCAACCGACAUCCAAUUGUCAGCUGGAAGCAGUUUUUGAGAGGAACGACACCCCUAUUCCCAUCUACCUGCUUUUUAUAAUAAGUGAAAGUCUGGGAUGUAAGGGUUCUGUCCUUAAUUACAUCAUCAGCCUGGGAUGGCGUCCCAGCCUAAAAAGCGGGUGGGCCCACUGUGUGUCCCUCUCUUUCCUUUCUGCUCCUUCCUUCUGUCUGGACCUCCUUCUUCUCUUCUCUCUCUCUCUCUCUCUCUCUCUCUCUCUCUCUCUCUCUCUCUCUCUCUCUCUUUCCCUCUCCCUUUCCCUCUCCCUCUCUCUCUCCCUCUCUCUCUCCCUCCCUCUCUUCCUCUCUCCCUCUCUCCCAAUAAAGCUCUAGAAAGGUAA